Rosa rugosa (rugosa rose) is the source of this 698-nucleotide RNA transcript. RefSeq lists it as uncharacterized. The record is from RefSeq and is a predicted model, not a curated record. The transcript is spliced from 5 exons. Lineage: Eukaryota; Viridiplantae; Streptophyta; Magnoliopsida; Rosales; Rosaceae.
UUUUUUUUUUUUUUUUCUCUUUUCUCUCGCUCCUCCUCCGCUUCUACCUCCGACCAUGAUUGAAGCAGAGCGUAUAUUGCUCAACCAUGCAUUAGAGGAUCCUGUUAAUCAACCUUUACUUUUGUUUCUGAUGGCUGCAUCCCUCUGUCGAUUUCAACUGCCCAUGUUCCACUUCCCAAGUCGAGGUGCUAAAAAUCAAUUGGUUUCAGAAGCAAUCAAAUGGGAACGAUGACUGCGUUUCAAAAAAUUCAUACAAGAGACUCUUUUUUCUACGAUGCCUGGCAGCAAAUCAUCAAUUGGAAUUAGAUCAGGCUUACGUUUAGGUUCAAUAAUCUGAAUCGAGUGAUGUGUUUAUAUGAGAAGGAAUUGAUUCAGGUGCAUUUUUGUGAGAAACUUCAUGAUUUUUCAAGAGUGAAUGCAUGCAGGAGAGAAGACUACCUUGCACAACACAGAGAUGUAAUUGAUUAUGGAGAGGCUUUUGUCAUGCGUGGUUUGAUUAAUGUAAAAGAUAUGUUAAAUUCUCUAUCUAGCCUAUUUACACAUAGAUUUAGAGAUUAAUCACAGUUUUAGUAAGUUGAAUUUAACUUUCGUUAUAAGGAUGCAAAUGUGUAUGGAUAUACUACAUUACCACAACAUGGGAUUCUAUAUUUACCCCUGAUUGAUAUAAAAUAUGCUGAGUUUUGGUUUUUUCUUAAAAA